AGAACGAACGCUGGCGGCAUGCCUAAUACAUGCAAGUCGAACGAACUCUUCGGAGUUAGUGGCGCACGGGUGCGUAACGCGUGGGAAUCUGCCCCUUGGUUCGGAAUAACAGUUGGAAACGACUGCUAAUACCGGAUGAUGACGAAGGUCCAAAGAUUUAUCGCCAAGGGAUGAGCCCGCGUAGGAUUAGCUAGUUGGUGAGGUAAAGGCUCACCAAGGCAACGAUCCUUAGCUGGUCUGAGAGGAUGAUCAGCCACACUGGGACUGAGACACGGCCCAGACUCCGACGGGAGGCAGCAAGUAGGGAAUAGUUGGAACAAGUGGGACGAAAGCCUGAUACCAGACAAGUCGCCGCGUGAGUGAUAGGAACGGCCGUUAGGGUUAGUAAAGU
Molecule: ribosomal RNA, 391 nt
Filed under: uncultured soil bacterium
Lineage: Bacteria
Description: bacterial SSU rRNA
Rfam family: Bacterial small subunit ribosomal RNA
Source: RNAcentral